Helianthus annuus (common sunflower) is the source of this 1053-nucleotide long non-coding RNA. RefSeq lists it as uncharacterized. The record is from RefSeq and is a predicted model, not a curated record. The transcript is spliced from 2 exons. NCBI's taxonomy places the organism in Eukaryota, Viridiplantae, Streptophyta, Magnoliopsida, Asterales, Asteraceae.
ACGAACAUUAUGGAAAACGAGAGUUGCGGAUUUAACGGGUUCGUAUACGCCUAGAAACCUACUCACUAGCAAAACCCUAACUAUUUAAGAAAACUCUACCCUUACCCACCCCUAUUUUGUAACUACACAAAACACAUCUUUGUGUGUAGAUAUUGGAGAGAUCGAGAGAGAGAUAUGGAGAUCAAGAGAGGAGCCGGUUAAACCUCAGCAUCCUAGCAUCCUCUGGUAGUAUCCGAUGACCGACGACCGACGACCGGCCGUGGGUGGCCCCACGCGGCGGCGCAAGGCGGCAACAGUGGCCGCGUGACCUUCUUCGAUGAAAUCAACGACGGUCCAGGGACCAGCGGCGCACAACCACGAGGAGGCAGCCCCCUUCCUUUCCCUGCGAUCGGUGGUGGCGGGUGUGGUGCUGGGGCUGUGUUCAGGCAACAGAAGAGAGAAACGAGAGGGGGUGAUGUUGGUGGGCGAUGACAAGGGAUGUGCGGCGGCGCGACCUCCCGGCGGACUGGUGGUUCCAAAGAAACUCCGGUAGAUCGGUAGUGGCUGAGGUGGUUGUUUUCAGGGGUGAAGGUGGCCGCUGGCGGCGGAGAUAACGUUUGACCACCGGAUGAGCAUGGUGGACGGUGGUGGUCACUCGGUUUCGAUGUUGGGUGGCUUUUGUGUCACGAGUUAGGCUGGUCAACCGUACAGAUCUGGUCAAACUUCGGGUCAGGUCGACUCUCGGUCAAUAAAAGUCAACGAUGGUCAAAGUCUUAGUCAGCUGGUCGUAUUUGAGUGGCACGCUUAUCGAGGAAACCUUUUUCGUGUCGGUCUUGAGCGGUUAAUUCGAGUAGGUAACGACGCGCAUCUGUGUAUUUGAAAUUUGAAUACAUUAUCUUAUAUUUUGUUUAACGUGUGAAAAGCCGAGCUCUAGAACCCGACCCUACUAAGUGAAACUGUUGUGUAAUAUAUACAUAUUGUAUUCACGUGAUGCUUGAACAUUUGGAAUUGUAUGUAAAUAUAAAUUGUAGAAUAUAUUUGUAAAUAUAAACUUGAACCGAGACAUUUAAAUUA